Molecule: long non-coding RNA, 4123 nt
Organism: Cavia porcellus (domestic guinea pig)
Lineage: Eukaryota; Metazoa; Chordata; Mammalia; Rodentia; Caviidae
Exons: 2
Source: RefSeq, a predicted model, not a curated record
CUGCAGGCAGAGGGAAUGAGGCUCUGGCGUGUUUCUGCAGGAUCAGAAAACCUCUCAUGAAUACAGAACGAGAGCGAGACACACGACUGAACAUCAUCACUAUGUCUGAGCCAUGAAGCACUUGGAUCCUAUAUAAAGAAACAACAAGAGCCAUAAACCAAAUAGAAUUUUCAACAGAGAAGCUUCAAAGAGAUUCAUUCAUCACAAGAAAAGAGUUAUUUUUAAAAUAUGUGAAAGGAAAGAACCUGCUUAUGUCCUGACAAGACGAACUGGACCUUAGGGAUUCUUUACUCUGCAGUUUCAGCAACAUACCCAGUGUCUCCUGGGUGCUUCAGAAUUCUCUCUGCAGUGGACGCCUUUCUCCCCAGUGCUCCAGCCCCACUCAACUGCCCUGUUUGCCUCUGCUGUGACCUAAGAGUAUUUAUUAUUUCACAGCUUUUCAAGGGCCUCCUUGUCUUACUCCACCCCCACCUUCCCAGCGGAUCACUGUCACGGAAUUAAUCUGCAAAAAUCAUCUCUCUCAUUUGAAAAUUUCAAUGGCAAUACUCCAACUAACAAGCAAAAUUGAAUUUCUUAGCCUGAUGUUCUAGGUUUCUAGCUUCCCAUCUUCUUGCUCAAGAGGAAGAUCACUACAUUCAAACCAUGUGGCUCUUCCUGCAGCAUCCACGCUGCACCCAGUUGAUCCCACUUACAUCUUUCCUAUCCUCCAAAGCUCCACUUCACCACAGCCAAAAGAAGCCUCAUCCGUAUCCAAAGAAUCAUAAACCAAGCUCACCUGACUGUGCUGUAUCCUUUGCUUUUUCCUUGAAAAAAACACUGCAAUUUUACACAGAAAAAGAAAAAUAACUGAAGUAUAAUUUACACUAGGGAACUCUGAAGGAGGUUGAUUCCCUUUAAGAAGCGAGUUGCAUGAAAUAAAGGAACCUGUCCGUGGCUCCUGAUAAAUCACACAGAACCGCGAACACAUACAGCCAAGCGGGCUUGAUACGGACUUUAAUCUUCAUUAUACAUUUCCGGUGGUCAAACAAAGAGCUUCUAAGGCAUCUUACAACUGUGCAGCUCCAGAUACUGAACUGAUUGAUAUUCACGCCAGAAUGCGGGUCAUCCCUCUAUAAUUCAGGCUUUCAUCCCCAAACUAUGUAUCUGUUCUUCCUAAGUUAUAAAUCUUAAGCCAUAAACUUGUAAAGUUAUAAACUAUAAGCCAGUUAGGAAUACAAUUCAGUUUUCUUGAGUUUGGUCUCCUACGCCCUUAGAAAGCCAUCCAACUUCCAACAGUGGCAGUGCUCCUCAACCCUCAAUUUGUUAUUGAAAGAUAUUUUCAUUAAGAUUGAAAAUAUUUUGCAUCACGUCAUGCUUCAGUUUUGACCUUGUCUUUUCCCAAAGUGUUUCACAUCUUGAGAAGAAAUCCCUUCUUUUUCCUUUCUUAUGCAGCUCAACAAGUCCACUGAGAAUUCAACACAGAUGUCACGUUGCCGUAUUUAUCAAUAUUAGGUAAUUCCCCUUGCCAUAAGCACUGGCAGGAAAGCUAUCUAUCCUUUAUCUCCAAUCUGAAUGUCAAGGUUAUCAGAAUUAGUUCCGGAUGCAGAUGUUAGAAAGCCUCAUUCAACUAAAGAAAUAACGUAAAAGAUUUCAGGAGGUAGUUAAGCAAUAUUCCAUCACUAACUCAUGCACCUGUUUCAAGGACGAGUUAUCCGUCUUAUAGAAGUCUGUUUACUUUCUUUUUCCUCCUGUAGAGCUGUCCUUCAUCAAACUGUUUGGUCUCCCUUUUGAGUGCACUUCUGCAGACAGCACACAUGUCAAGCCUUCAUAAAGUAUAUCUCCUGCCAAAUACAAAUUUAGUGUCUUCCCGGAGAAAGUAAAGGGGCACAGACAGACUCCAGGGAAAACAAAGAUUUUUGCCUUUUUCAAAGCAGAGUGUCCACCAGGUGUAGUUGCAUACGCCUGUAAUCCCAGCACUCAAGGAAGCUGAGGCAGGAGGAUCACUGUGAGUUCAAGGCCAGUCUGUACUACAUAGAAGACGCUGUCUCAAACGUUCAAAAACUAUAUAAUAAAUAAACCCCAAACAAUAAAAUAAAACAAAACAAAAAAACCCAAAGCAGACUGUCCACUUGAAUAAAAUGUUCUAGCUCAUUCAAAUAUUAUAUUAACUUUGUUCAAAAUAAACAUAUACUUUUACCUGGAAAUCUUUUUCUCAGGAAACAAACUAACCAAAAUGCUACCUAUGAACUUCACCAAACUUUCUGGGGAAAUACUUCUCCAAUUUUCUUUUGGCACACACAAUAAUAACCCACAGACCUAGCUGAGUAUCUACCUUACUUUUUUUUUUGGUACCAGGGAUCGAACUCACAACCUUGCGCUUGCCAGGCAGGUGCCUACACCACCGACUUCCAAAGAUACCUAGCUAUGAUCCAUUCCACGACAAAAAAAUUUCUAGAGUAAAUCUAAAACCGUAUCUAGUGGUCAAAUCACAAGUAGAUCAUAGGACAAAUUUAAAAGAUGGGUAAGAUACCUCUGACAUACAAACUACACUUGACUAAAGAGAUCUACACUUAAAAUCAAAUAUACUAUUAUCAUAUACAAACAUAUCUGCAUAUAGCUAAGCCUUAGUAUAUGAAAAUAAUAUAAAAUACAGCUCACAUAAACCAGAGUUCUGUGCUUCAGAAAAUCACCACCACCUCUGGUCACUGCUGCUGCCCCUACAGAAUGAAAAGUUACCUUCAUUUUCAAAUCAUAGCAAGGUUUGUGGCCCUCUGAAAGGGUAUGUAAGAAUUUCCAUUUAAAAUUUUCUAUUUUCAGGGGUUUAUAAAAGCUAUAAAAAUUCUCUCCAAACUAAAACUUGGCAAACAGGAACUCAGCAUGAGGACAUUUUUUUAAAGCCUAAAUUUAAAAACAGUAUGUUCGUGUAAUUUUUUUUUUAAGUAAUAAGAAGUCCAAAAAGGACAGUUUUUUUGGUUUUUUGGAGGUUUUAGUUGUAUUUAAAAAAAAAAAAAAAAACUUGCAUUCCACAGGAGCUAACUUGUUUGUAAAAAUGAAAAUCUGAAGAUCGUAAAUUCAAAUUUUGGCCCUAUUAUUUCCAUGAAUGACAUAAACUAACAUCCUCUAAAAAGGACCCUAAAAUGAAGGGUGAAUAUUUAUUAUUCUCAAAGGAUCAUGUUCACAAAUAACUCAAAUUGCCCUCCAAUACUGAUGCAAAAGAUUUUUUAAAGUACUACACAUGGCUUCUUCUUUUUUUAUAAAAGCUAAACAGGCACAUUCAAUAAAGUCCAACAAGUCAAAUAAAAAAAUACUGUAAUAUAUUUAUAUGAAUGAUGUAUUUAUUUGGCUUUAUCAAUCACAACUUUAAGAUUUGGGUCAAAACUUAACCCCCCUAAAGUUGGUGGAUGGUAAAAUAAUAUUAGUGUACUGUACUUGUCUACAAAAACACAUCAUAAAUAUAUGUUCUAGUAAGAUUAGUAUAUAUUGCUUCAAAGACAAUUUUAUAAACACGAAAAGUUUAAUUUCUGUUUCAACUCCAAAACCAGGCAGCCCCCGCUCCACCUUAAAUGCUGUUAAGAGUACAGAAAUGACACACAAACCAUUGAAUAAGUCACGCUUCCUAUUCUUACAAUAAGCAUCACCUUGCAGAGGACCUAGUCACACAAAACAUAAAGCACCUGUACCGCACCCUCUUAAAAACCCACUACAAAAAUAUUUUCAGGAAAUACAGUUUGGGUCGGCCUCUCCUGUUUUCCUCCACACUCUGGGAUUAGCAAAGAUCCAAGCAGAUACUCAAGACACAUGAAUAUACUAACAGAAGUUAAAUAUAGCUUUUGGAAAUACUAUGUAACAUGAACCUAGUUGCUUUAAACUCAUGUAAAAAACAUGAAAUACUAAUUUAAGAGAAGCCCAAAUGGUGGCCCUCUACCUAAGUCAGCAAAUGACCACUGUUGCAUCCUGCCUCGUCCUCCUGGGGACUUACAGUCUUGGGUAUCAUCGUUCUUUUCUUUUUUACACCAUCUUUCAUUUGCCCACGGCUUAUACCAAGAUCUCUUCCAUGCAUGUGGGGUGGUUGGCUACCCACUCAACGCCCAUACUUUGGGCUUCUUAGGAAGAAAAAAAGAAAUAAAAAGAGAUUUUCUUUUUU